RNAcentral lists this non-coding RNA (88 nucleotides) under Pseudomonas helmanticensis. Lineage: Bacteria; Pseudomonadati; Pseudomonadota; Gammaproteobacteria; Pseudomonadales; Pseudomonadaceae. The record is from RNAcentral.
GUGGGAGCUGGCUUGCCAGCGAUGGCGUCCUGUCAGUCGAUACAGAUGUUGGAUGUGAUGGCCCCAUCGCUGGCAAGCCAGCUCCCAC